UUGUAGGGUAUCCCUAAACUACCAUUCAUCGAUGAAAGUCGUCUUCUUACCAAGCAUAGUAUAUAUUGCUUUGGAUCUAUUACAGGGUUAGCGUAGUUGUUAUUGCCAGGGUCAAUGAAUUUGAGUAAAUGCAAGAAACGGCUUCAUGCAAAAUAUGUUGUUCAUCCAGAUGCAUCUAACACUUUAUUUGUCGAAUGGUUGCCUGCAAAUUGUACAAAACGUGAAUUCUCUCUUAUCUUGCUCCUUUUGUAGGUUUUAAAGAAGUAACACCUAUGAGCAAGGAGUCUCGUCAUGUUACAGACCAAAACCUUGAUAUUUCGCAAAAGACACCUGCUUGUGUACCUUAUGCUUUGCGGCAUUAUUAUUAUCAGUAUUUAUCGUCCAUCGCUGAGGCUGUUGAGAUACAAAUCUGAAUACAUUCACCAUAGAGUGCAAGGCCAGUAUGUCAGAAACAUGUUGUUAGCAGUCGCAGUCGCAGUCAUCUGCCUAAAUAGUUAAGUUGUUGCUUGAUUUUAUAACCUGAUUAUGCCUAUUUUAACAUGCUGAUUGCUCGACUCUGCAUAUAGUUAUUUCACCUCCUGUAUUGCAGGAGAAGAUCUCAAUUCUUAGAGAAAAUGACACAUUACUAAAAGCAAAGGAAAAGCUGAAUCUUUAGAUGGAUUCUUUGCUGAAAAACAAAGAUUUAGCUGACGGUCAAAUUAUGGCACUAACAAAAUCAUUGGAAGCUCUUCAAAAUGAUCUUAAGGACCGAGAGCUUCAGGUACAAGAUUUGAAGCAGUCAUUGGAGCUUCAAAGACAGGAACUAAAUGACUGCAGAGUGAGAUCACUUUACUAAAAAUGCACAUAGAGGGGUAGAAAAUUUUACGGAAUCACAUCUCCGCGCUUUUGGUGAAAGAGAACGCUGGAAAAUUGAAGUUUUAUUGCGGAUGUUGACAAAGCUGCUUCCAUUCGUGCACUGAAAAGUGAUUGAGACUUGCUCAUUUCCCUCUGCAAUGAGAUCUUCCACAUCUUCUGAAAUAUGGGGAUUCUUCAUAAUCUCCUUGUUUGAAUUGUACGCAGGGAUCCCCAUCAGCAGAAUGCACUCCUAACAGCGUUCCUGGCAAAGGUGAAUGAGGUAUUUGGGAUGAAGUCAAAAAGCAGUACUCUGGUGAUAUUUUAGAAGCAGUUGAAUCUUUGCUGAGGAGAUUGGUUAAGCAAGCGGAGUCUGGUGAUACUUCUGGUGAUAUUUAGUCUUUCUUUCACUGUUUUUCAAUGCCUCUGUCAGUUGACACAAACUAGGUUACCCAUCCAUUUUAAAAACAUCAACAUAGAUCGAAUAUUAUAUGUCAGUCACAACAUACAUAAGUUUACUUGUGUACAUUCAAUUCAAGAAUCCUUUCUUUUAUGA
This is a long non-coding RNA of Papaver somniferum (opium poppy), 1387 nucleotides long. RefSeq lists it as uncharacterized. The record is from RefSeq and is a predicted model, not a curated record. The transcript is spliced from 8 exons. Lineage: Eukaryota; Viridiplantae; Streptophyta; Magnoliopsida; Ranunculales; Papaveraceae.